CGCCAGGGGGCGCGCGCAGCCGGGACACAGCGCAAGCGCGCACGCGUACCGCGCGGCCCACGCCCUGGCCGGCCGGUCUUGAAAGGGAGUGCGCGCCCGCGCCGGCUCGCGCAUGCCCGAGCUGAGGGACUCCGCCCUCUCGAACCGCCCUGCCAAACCGGUUCCAGCUGGAACUUAAUGCACGGUCCGUACGGGAGGCCAAGUGGCGGUCCGUCCCUACGGGCUCACCCUGGUGGCGACGCCUCACUGUAGGUAGGGAAACAGGCUGAGGAGAGGAGCCACCGUGGGCUUUCCGUCCCUCACGCAGGUCCUAGAUACUCAGCCUGGCAGUGUCUAGUUGUCUCUCCGCGCUAUCCCUUGCUGUGCUCCCAAGGGUCCUAAGGAUGGGUUCAGUAUUACACUUGUGUGACCUUAGGCAAGAUGCUCAACCUUUCUGUGCCUCACCAGUCUUUGUAAAAUGUGACAACUGAGUGAGUCCAGUCCCCUCCCCCAGACUGGCAGUCCAUUUACAGCAAGUUCUGCCAGGCACUGAUCCUUGCAGCGUGACAAGCCGGUUGCCUGCUUUCUGUAUUUGGAUCUGACAGAGGGCUGUGAGGAAUGAAGAAGGUAACACUGUUUCCAGUCUUCCCUUUGCAUUAAGACAUAAUAAUGACAAAAGCAACAAACUUAUUUGAUGGCAGCACUGUGCUAAGCACUUUAAAAGCAGGAGUUGGCUACAUCGUGCUCUUCGGUUUCAUUUGCUUUACUUAGUGAAAAGACAAAGUAAAAUCUUGAUAGACUAUGACACCCCAAGUCACCCUUGUGUCACUGCACCCUUCCAAUUCAGUUAACACUCCUUGUCUAACCUUGGGCAAGGCCCCCCUUUCUCUCUGGGAUUCGCCAGUGCUGAGUGUUCCCUGGAGAGAAACCAGGCAGAAACAGAAUUUUAAAAAGGAAGUCUUUGACCCUCUAAAUCCAGUCCACAGAAGAACUCAUGGGCAGCUUCAAUCUGGACUUCACCAAGUCUGGACCUUGGUGCUAGAGUUCACAUGUCAGCACACUUCUCUAUUGGUACUCCCCCCACCCCACACACACACCUGCGGGCGCUCGCACACACGUUCCUCAGGUCCUGUAAGGUGUUUGGGGGGUGGGUGGGACCAUUUUGUGUACUGACUGGGUCCUCACCCAGGAGCUCCAAGUCUGGCUAGCCUCUCUGCAAAAAGGAGUUGACUGGACCCAGGCCUGAGGUGUAAUACUGGCCUCAGAUCCUCCUGCAUGAACCUGGGCUUCUAGGGGAGGGUAAAUGGUCCUUUCCAGAUAGUUGCUGUCCUGUCCCAGGUGGCAGAACAGCAACUGGCUAGAGUUUGAGUCACCAUUUCUGUGGAUUCUUUAAAAAUGUGGACAGUGAAAAUCCGUGCAGUCCGCAUAUAGUAGGCUCUCAGAUACCUAGGAACGUCCCUGUACUGGCUGCUUUUGUGUGUCAACGUGACACAAGCUAGAGUCAUCAGAGAGGAAGGAGCCUCAGGUGAGGAAAUGCCUCCUUGAGAUCCAGCAGUAAGGCAUUUUCCCAAUUAGUGAUCAAGGGAGAAGGGCCCAGCCCACAGUGGUCCUGGGUUCUUUAAGAAAGUAGGCUAAGCAAGCCAUGGGAAGCAAACCAGGAAGCAGCACCCUCCAUGGCCUCUGUACCAGCUCCUGCCUCCAGGUUUCAGCCCUGCUUGAGUUCCUGUCCUGACUUCCUCCAAUGAUGGAUUAUGAUCUGGAAGUGUAAGCCAAAUAAACCCUUUCCUUCCUAACUUGCUUUUUGGUCAUGGUGUUUUCGUCACAUCAAAUAGAAACCCUCGCUAAGACAAUCUGGGACAAGGGCAUGAUAGAACGUAAGGAGAAGCCUGCCUUCUACCCAGUGCCCUGAGGAGAGGUGCCUGCUUCAACAGUAGGAAAUUUGACAGUCAUCCAGGAUAAGGCCUCCUGAAUCCUAUUACCACUGACCCUAUGGCCCUAACAGGGCCGCUGUCCCCUGCCUGACCAGUAUGACAGCCUCUAAUCUUGUUCCUACUGCCAGAUGAUUCUCUUCUUCUUUGUCACAUCCUUGGGUUGCUUCCUUCCUAACCCCAUAGGACAAUGAAGAGCUCAAAGCUUUGAGAAACAUCUCCUUGACCUAUUUUCUGAAUAACCUUGACUGUGACACUUCUAGGCUUUGUAAACCUUCCCACGCCCACUUUUUGAGUAUAUGUGUGUGUGUGCGUGUGCGUGUGCGUGUGUGUGUGUGUGUGUGUGUGUGUGUGUGUAUCGGGGUUAAGUCAGGAAUGGCAGGUAUGUGUAACGCUGGCCAUAGCAGACAUCACUAAUUGGUGGUGGCUCACUUAAUCUGUUUAACUCAGAUUAAAUCUCAAACCUUAGCUUCAGGAAUCAGAAAUGACACUCAAAUUACAGAAUGUUUGCCCUGACACUCUGGGGACUGAAUGGGCUGAGGUUACAGGGCUCUGCUGUGUAAUAACUGGAGAUUAGGGUGGACUAGGCUUGAGAGACAAGACCUAUGUAUAUGUGCAAGGGAAGGGAAAGGAAUCAAAGAAAUCAGAAGAGUUCUAAGGGAUGAGAGAAGGGACAAAAUGAGAGGGAGAGCAGCCUGUGACUUAAAUGGUCCAGAUAACCAAAGUCUAGAUAAACAAUAUGAAGCCCAGGUAGGGACGGCCACCUCUUCAGUGACCUAUCAGCACUGAAGAAAGUACCCUGGGCCUCUGAGCAGGGAGGUAGAAUGUUUUCUGGACUGGAACUUGUCCAGCUCAACCUGGAGCUUGCAGUAUGGGUGAAGAAUGACCCUAAGUCUAUGUACCUGUGUGUGUGUGUGUGUGUGUGUGUGUGUGUGUGUGUGACCGUUUCCACAUUUGAAGAUCUAGAGAAUGUAAUUGGGAGGGUGCCACACAGUAGUCUCCCCACCCCCACACCACUUGCUGUGGGCCCUGUGUGAUAUCUCGGCUUCUGAAUCUGUGUGAUGUGAUUCAGAGGGAGUGGGAGAGACAUAGGAGGGAGGAGGGGAAAGCCCAAAACUGAGAGGAAGGAAAGGAAGAGAAACAGAGGGCUGAGGGAGAAACAGAAGGCGACGACGGUUGAGUGGGGGAGCUGAGGGAAGAGAUGGGAGGGAGGCUUGUCACUGUUCUUGCUUCCUUUCAGAAGCAUAAAGAAAGAAAAGGCAGACCAAAGGGUCGCAUCAUGGCCCUCAUGUCCCCUCCCAGGUGUCCUCUGGCUGGGGAGGGGCUGUAGAAGCUGAGCCCCUGCUGACCCGCUGCCUGCCAGUCACCUGCCAGAGCUAUUUCUGGAAUGUGGAAACUGGGUCAGAAAGGAGGAGGGAGGGUGGCAGUGCUGGAGCCAGAGCUGGGAAGCUGUGAGUAGUGGGUGGGCAGCUACACGCCCCGCCCCCACGAGAGCAGUUGGUUCUGCCUAGGUGCCCACUGCCUCAAGAGCUACCCUGCACCCCCAUCUUCCCACCUACCUGCCUGCAUCUGGUCCUGUGAGCACAUGGGCUCAGGGUGGAGAAACAAACAGAGCUACAUGCCUCUCAGCCAACAACUCAGAACCAACACGGGAAGGCUGGGAAGUAAGAGGAGAGCCUUCUGAGUAGGGGGACUGGCUGUGUGCUGGUGUGUGCCUGUGUAGAGAUGGACGUAAAGGACCAUAUUCUAAUAGAAACCACUGUAUCAUGGUGACUUUUCAGCAGAUGGUGGCAGAGUGUCAUAGGAGACAGUGCCCUUUUUUAACUCGGCACAAAACUACCACACGGACCAGCUGCAGCUCUGGCCAGAAACCUGGAAAUCUGGUGCCUUUGGCUUUCCUGGGUGGCAGGUGAGUAUAUCUGCAGAGCACAAGAGGAGCAGAGGUCAAACCAGAGCAGGUAUGUGGAGGUCACCAUGGGAACCUAUAGUGAAGGCGAAUGGGGAAGCCCGGAGUGUUUCUUCACAAGUGUGGGUGUGAGCUUUGACGGAGACACACAGGCUUGUACUUUGUGUGCAGGGUGUGUCGAACUAGGUAUGCACAUGUAUGCAUAGGAUUAUUGGUACACAUCUGUCUUCACGUCUUUCUUUGUGUGUGUGCACAUCCAUGUGUGGGUGGGUGUGUAUGUUGGGUGUCAUUUUCAGUCUGUACCUUCUUUUUGAGAAACUCGCCAAGUUGGCUAGGCUGGCUGACUGGUUAGGGAUCCACUGUCUUUGCUCCCUCAGAGAUAGGAUGUCUGUGAUGGCUUAAAUGAGAGUGGUCCCCAUACGCUUCUAUAUUUGCAGAUUUAGUCCCUAGCUGGUGGAUUUUUGAGAAGGAUUAGAAGUAUUAAGAAGUGUGGCCUUGCUAAGGAGGAAAUGUGGUCUUUGAGGUUUCAAAAGUGCAUGCCGGACCCAGUGUCUGUCUGACUGUCUGCCUCUCCUCUCUUGUCUGUCUGUGUCUCUCUCCGCCUGCUUCCAGAGGAUCAAGAUGUAAAACUCUUAGCUACUUCUGCAACACCAUGCCUUCCUGCCUGCUGCCAUGCUCCCCACCACGAUGAUAAUGGACUGAGCCUCUGUGAGCCAGCCCCCAAUUCAAUGCUUUUCCUUGAGCCAGGAGGGGGCAGUGGUGCACGCCUUUAUUCCCAGCACCUGGGAGGCAGAGGCAGGUGGAGCUCUGUGAGUUCAAGGCCAGCCUGGUCUGCAGAGCUAGUUUCAGAAACCCUGUCUCACCCUCCACCCACAUCAAAUGAAGAGUCGAGUUACUCAUGUCUCUUCACAGCAAUAGAACACUAAGAAGGUGUGUUACCACGCUUGGAUCCCCCCACCCCCAACAGCAUGGUACUAGUGGUCCAAAUUCAGGUCCUCAUGCUUGCACUAUACCAACUGUACCAUACUGUAUACAGGUCUUUCUGUGACUGUGUAACGUGUGUCUGGGCAGGUACGAGAGGGUGUUGCACAAUACUUUCUUGACUAUAUUUGUGCAAAAGUCCCUGAACUGUUUAACUGAAGCCUACAUCCUUACACUUGAUAACAAAUGCUGGUUCAUCCAGAAUGUGCUCUGUGUGUGUGUGUGUGUGUGUGUGUGUGUGUGUGUGUGUGUGUGUGUGCGUGCGUGCUUUCGCACGCUGUGAUUGCCUUAAUUAUUAUUACUGAAGCAAAGUUGGAAUUUAUUUCUUUAGAAAUGUAGGGUCUUUUGGGGGCUGGGAGGGGCUCAUCACAUAAAAGCUGGCCAUGAGGUCUGAUGGCCUGAGUUUGAUCCCUGGAACCCACACGGAGGUAGAAGGAAGGGCUGGAGAGAUGGCUCAGCCCUUGAGAGGCAGAGAUAGGCAGAUCUCUGUGAUUCCAGGCAAGCUAAGGUUACACAGUGAUGCCCUAUAGGAAGGGGAAAGAAGAGGGAGAAACCAUGCAUGGGGCACUGUUUGCAGGCUCAAACACACACACACACACACACACACAUCAUGCACAUACAUACACAUAGUGAGGAGAGGUAUUUUAAUGCAGAUUGAAGGAGAAAUAGAUUAUAGGUAGAUGAUCGGUUGAUAGACACUGAGGUUGAGACUGAAUCAGUGACCUCAGUUCUCAGUUCUUUGGACUUAUCGUCUUUGCUAUGUCUCACAAAAAUCUCUGUGGCACCAUCAGCUUUGGACUAGUGACUUGCUUUGACUAACUGUUUUUGCCGAUGCGAAGCCAAGAGACUUGAGAUGUCUUACAAAAUUAGUUCGUCCUCCUAUCCUUCUGCCAUGUCCAUGGGGGAAACAGGGCCUGGCUGGGACACUGGCUCAGGAACAGCCUUUGGGCCCAGGGUAUAGGACACACAGAGCAAAGGCAGCUGAUCAGCAGCUCAUAAAUGUCUGCUAUUGUUCCCCACUGCUCAUCCCCAGGCGCCAUUGAGACGGUACACGACAUAGAGUGUGACUUCAUAACAACCAAGAGCUAGCAUCUUGGCCCCAGGAUCACGCAGUGAGGGAAGGAUGAGCAAACUAUUAGGGAGGAUUGGAGAAGAAGCCUGGCUUCUGUUUGGGUGUGGCUCAGAACUCUCAGUGAGAUUCAUCUGUACUGACUUCAAGUGUGCAGAUGUAGUUGGCUAAGACCUGAAGACCUGGGCCCUUUGGAUAAGGAAGUAAAGCGAGAACUCACAACCUGUUAGGGAUACUUAGGGGAAAUAUAAAAGGCCUAGGAAUUGCUGAGCUGAAAAAGAAAUCAGUCAAUUUUAGUCUCCAGUCAGUAGAUCAUUCUCAAAUUAAGAUACAGCCUAAGAUAAAGAUCAAAACAAAGUCAUUGCCAUUUAUAAUACCACACAGGCUAGGGCUUAGGCUUUUAAUCUCAGCACUUGGGAGGCAGAAGUAGGCUGAUGUCUGUGAGUUCAAGGCCAACCUGUUCUACAUAUAGUUCCAGGCUAGCCAGAGCUACAUAGUGAGAUCCUCUAAGAAAGAAAGAAGGAAAAAAAGAAAGAAAGAAAGAAAGAAAGAAAGAGAGGAAGGAAGGAAGAAAGAAAGGAAGGAAGAUAGGCUGAGGGGGGUUGCUGGAGUGACUCAGUGGUUAAGAGCACCGACUACUCUUCUAGAGGUCCUGAGUUAAUUCCCAGCAACCACAUGGUGGCUCACAACCAUCUGUAAUGGGAUUCAGUGCCCUCUUCUGGUGUGUCUGAAGACAAUGUACUCAUAUACACAAAAUAAAUAAUUCUUUUUUAAAGGAAGGGAGAAAGAAAAACAAAAGCACUUGCUAUUUUUGCAGAGGGUGGGGUUUGGCUCACAACUGCCUGUAAGUCCAGUUCGAGGGGAUCUGACACACUCUUCUGGCCACUAUGGUCACCUACAUGCGGGUGGUGCAUAUACAGAAAAGCAGGCACACAGGCACACACAUUGAUACAAACCCCUCAGGUGGGCAAAGGAGCUAUGGGAAAGCUCAGUGGUGUGGUCCCACAGCAUCCCAGUAUAGGAAUAGUUAAGUAAAGGGAGGUGAGGCUCAAAGUGGUCGUGGAUAUGACUUUGGCACAAAGUGACAUGAAAUUAAAUUAAAUGAACUGUGUUUGAUCUAGGUCAAUCAACUCAGUCAGCUUCUGCUAUGGAAGGUGAAUCCUUCUGCUGCUCCUAGGAAGGAAGCAGGCAAAGGUUCAAAGUUCAUUUCUCAGGGCAGGAAAUCUUCAGAACGAGUCUCCUAUCUCACAGAGUGGGCUCAUCGGCUUGCUCAGAAGGACUUCAGAAUCGCCCAAGUCAGAAAACCUGUGAGCCCCCUCCUGUCCCAGCUCAACAGAGUCUGGGUGGCAGCUGCCCUGUCCUUGUGCUAAGUCAAAGGUCUCCAUUAGGGGAAGAGGGUGUUGGGUGACAGGGCAGGUAACACAGCUUUUUAGAUCAUAGGUUGAUGGAUCAAGAAAAGCUGUAGGGCUGGAGAGAUGGCUCAGCAGUUAAGAGCACUGACUGCUCUUCCAGAGGUCCUGAGUUCAAUUCCCAGCAACCACAUGGUGGCUCACAACCAUCUUAAAGAGAUCCGAUGCCCUCUUCUGGUGUAUCUGAAGACAGCUACAGUGUACUUACAUAUAAUAAAUGAAUAAAUUAAAAAAAAAAAAAGGAAAGAAAAGCUGUAACCAGAUCUAGCACAAAUCAUGGAUCUCAACACUGUGGCUGUAUGAAACUUAGGGGGAUCUUGGGUAGGAUAAGUGUUCUGUAUGAGAGAGGCAUGCAUACAUGUGUGGGAUACAGCAGGCUGAUCUUCAACCCUCUGCGUGCACACCCUUUGCCACAGGGAUACAAUCUCUUCUCCAAAAGUGAAAAGGGUCCUCACCCUUGAUUCUGAGCUCAGUCGUGCAACUUGCUUUAGCCAAUGGGAUGUUUGCUUAUGUUGGGCCUUGAAUGUGCUUGUACUGUUAGGCUCGCUCUCUUGCCUUCUGCCCUCCUCCUGAGAACAACUCAUUCUGAGGACCUCUGGUCCCAGGAGAAGCAUGAGGCUGACAAACUUGGGGAUGUCUAUUGUUGUACUGUGUUUGUUGUGCAGCAUUACGGAAGCAAGAGCUAUCUCAAAGAGGGGCCCACAUGGCCUGGGUUCUGGGAUGUGCAGUUAUGGGUCUGUGCACUCAUGAGUGAUGGGGGCUGGAGGAAGUCGAGGGUUUAUUUGCAGUGAAUUUCUAUAGAUGUCCUGCGUCCUUCUAAGCCCAUCUCAAUAGCACACGGGAGGCAGAGGCAGGCAAAUCUCAGUUUGAGGCUAGCCUGGUCUACAGAGCAAGUUCCAGGACAGCCAGGAGUACACAGAGAAACCUUGUCUCAAAAACACAUCCCCCCAACCCCCAACACACCCAGAGAACGUCUCUGGGGCAUGAGAAUGUGGAGAAGGUGAUGUUACCUGAGACUCCCAUUAGUGCAGCAGAGCUCUGGGACAGCCUGGCAGAGCUCUCUGGAUUUGGAAGCCACAGAACAGCAGCAACCUCCACCCCAGCCUGGAGACUUCUGUAGAGUAGCGGGUCACCCAUGAGCAGAGACGGAAGGCACUAGAGAAGCAGUGCCUCCAAGAGGCAACUAUGUUGCUUUUCAAACAGGUUAAAAUGGUUACAGGGUACGGGGUGGGGCUGCAGUUGUCUUUAGAAGGCUCUGUCCUAGGACAAACUGCCCAGCUAAAAGGCCGAGUGAGGAGGACCGACUGCCAGAUGGUGAAGCCCAGGGGGUGGGAGGCAGCUUUGCUCACCCUGGGACAGAGGAUGCCGGGAAGCCUCUUCCCGAUAGGAUAAGAAACCAGACUGUGGCUUCAGUUGUUCAAAGUCCCCAAACCAGUAGAGCCAGAAACAACAGUGAACAAGACUCAGAGAAGACCAGACCAUGACACCUAGCUCCUUGACAGCGUUUUCCAGCCAUGUCAGGCCCCAGGUGCAGCGGCACGAGAUUUGCGGCAGACUGGUCUAAGAGAUUAGACUGGAAUGGACUCCUCACAGCUAAAAGCCAGGCUGUUCCUCCAGGUGUAAAAGGGGCCAGAGUUUAGGGAUCUGUCUUGGGGUACCCACUCGGGCUGGGAUGGGAAGUCUGCAAGGGUAAUGGGCAGUGCAGUGGGACCACCGUUUCUGCUCUGUUCCUGAAGGGACCAGUUCAUUUAAUCAAUGUUGGCCACCUGCGUACAACAUCUGUGGGGCUCAGUUCACUUAGUGACAUCGGAAACCAGCAGCCAUCUCUUCUUACAACCCAACCCCACUGCCCUGGACUGGCAUGGAGGUUCAGAGUUGAGGCUAAGGAGCAGUUAUAACAGAAAGUACCUGUCCCGUCCCAGCAAAUGGUGUUUACUUAGGGUCUGUACAUGGCGAGAAUGUUAUAGGUAGCUUCCUGCAUGGUCCAACAACCCCAGGACUCUAGGGUCUGGUUUAGUCAUGGAGAAAAUAAAGGGCAAGAAGAGUAGACUCAGGGUGGUCUCGACCAGUCCACACUUUGUAGUGUGGCCCCUGGUCUGACUUUCUGCUUCUGCCUGGCUUGGGCACACAGUGUGGCUCCUUCCUCUGCUCACACAGGGGUCAGAACAACCUGAGGACGGUAGGGCCAUCCCUGAUUGUGAACAUGAGAGACAAACUCACCCCACUGGGAAGGCUGGGAGUGGAUUUAACCCCUCAUUCCUCUCUUUGCCUUCCCUGAAGGUUCUUGCCUUUCCUAUAGGUUUGUCUACACAGCUAACCCCAAGUGGGUUAGUAAGCCCUGCUUAUCAGCAAGAGGCUGCUCUAAGCAGGGAUCUCUGGGCUCCCACACUCUCCAUCCCUGCCCACUGGACGGUCUGUUUCUGCUAGCUGUUUAGCCUCACCAGUUAGCUGUUAGUUCUCCACCGUCCCUCCUGUGGUGACCUAUGGCUCCUCCCUGGCAUCCCUCUAGGCUGCCCACCCGGAUAUUUCCUGUGCCCUCCCCUGGUGAACAGCCCGAAGUGGAAUGAACGCCAACCUCCUGCAUACGGUACUCACUUGGAAGUGUACGGCUGUUGCUGAGGCUGCCGGUGCUGGGCGGUGGGGAGAGGGACUGCAGGGAGACACUGUCCUCCUCCUGCGAGCAGCCCGCCUGGAUGGCUCGCAGGUAGCUGUGGCUGCGUGAGCGGAAGUAGCUGGGCAGCGACAAGUCGAGCGCCUCUGCGGCUGUCGACUCAGCCUCACUGCAGGCCGACUCACAGGCUGCCUCAUACUGGUCACUCAGGUCUGCCUCCCGGACCUGUCCAGACAGAGGCAGGCAUCAGAGCCUGGCUUUGCCAGUCUUUGCUGGUCUAGCUCAGCUCCAGGGCUAGAGGCUUUCCUUGGCUGUCCCUUAGUCUAUCUCUCCUCCUCUCACCUCACUCAGGGCACAAAUGCCUUAGGAUUAAACAGCCCUCUCAUCUCUGUGGGCCUCCGUUUCUCCAUCUACAACAAGAAAAAUGCUGGAAUAUUACAGGAUGCUGACAAAAUAAGGUUUAAUAAAACCUUGUUGUCUGUACUAAUCUACUGAAUUCAUCAUGAAAGAAUCUGAGCCAUUGGUAAUGUUGGGUAUUUACCAUUUAAUAAGUUCUUUUUUGGGGCUGGGGAUUUAGCUCAGUGGUAGAGCGCUUACCUAGGAAGCGCAAAGCCCUGGGUUCGGUCCCCAGCUCCGAAAAAAAGAACCAAAAAAAAAAAAAAAAAUGCUGGCCUGGUGGCAAAGCCACGUCUGCGCUUGCUCUUGCUCCCCGCAGGCCCCUUACCUAGGAAGCUUCUUACAUCUUUUUUUUUCUUUUUUUGGUUCUUUUUUUCGGAGCUGGGGACUGAACCCAGGGCUUUGCGCUUCCUAGGUAAGCGCUCUACCACUGAGCUAAAUCCCCAGCCCCCAUUUAAUAAGUUCUAGUAACAAACAAAAACAAAAAACAAAACAAACAAACAAACAAACAAAAAAAAACCCACAAGAAACCCCCCCCCCCCCCGAGGGACAGUAAGAAGACACUUGUCAAGGGUACCUAGUGAGGAAGGAGCAGAACCAGCGAUCCAAAUAUGUAAGGAAUAGUAAUCCAGUGGAUGCUGUGGUCUGAAGAAAGGGUCUGGGAAGGAGGCAAAGGCUAGAGACAAGCGGAUGCAACAGCUUGGUGGAUGGUGACCACCAUGAUGUCUUACCAGGGCAAUAGGGGGAGUGGUUAUGGGUAUCUGUGCCAUUUCAAAUCACACACUUCCUAAGCAUCUCUCCAGAGAUCACCACCCAGGAUCCUGCAGACAGGAAGCUAGAGGUGUGACACAGGGGCCUCACCACACCUACACCCUGAAGAUUCUGGUAGCCCUUACUGAUUUCCAUUACAGGCUAUGUUGGCAGCUAGGGGCCAUGCAGCAGAAGCUAACGAGUCAGCUGGCCACAGGUGGACUCUAGGUAGAAGCCUGGGGGACCCAGAGCUGGAGGAGGAUCGGGGAGGAAGAGAAGGAGGAGGAGGACGGGGGAAGAGGAGGGGGAGGCACAGCGGACCGAAUGCCCUGUGGAGUGACGAUGGAUCUGGGCCAGCUCUAACCCAGCAGCACAACCUCAGCAGCUCUGGGCUGGCUUAAGAAUGCAUUUCCUUGUCUGCGUGAAAGGGAACAACCUGGGUAACAGCCUGUGUGUCCUUCAGACCCAAAUGCCUAGAUGGUCCCUCACAUAACUGGGAAGGCAUUUGGAAAGGUUUGAACCUGUGCUAUCAUGGAAGCUAUGAGACACACACGGCCAUGCCAUUUAGGUUUACAUCAAUUAGAACUGAGUGAAUUUGGUAGACAUACUAGUCACAUUUCACUGGGUCAAACACCAUGGACAGACAUGGGUUGUAGACCAUUAGCUAUCACUGCAGGACAUUCCAUUGGAUAAUCUGUUAAGUUAAAAUCAGGCCGCAUGGCAAACCCAAAAUACAUCUACAGAGGACAUUAAAGUGUUGUGUUAUCUUUCAAAGACGAAAACCGAUGUAUUUUUGAGAGCCUCUGUGACUGCCCAGGGCAACAAGGUCUUGCUUUGGAUCUGCACCAUAAGAACAGAGCUCUGGGGUUGGAAAGAUGGCUCAGUGGUUAAGAGCACUGAGUGCCCUUCCAGAGGUCCUGAGUUCAAUUCCCAGCAACCACAUGGUGGCUCACAACCAUCUGUAAUGGGAUCUAAUGUGUGUCUGAAGACAGCCACAGUGUACUUAUACACAUAAAAUAAAUAAAUUUUUUAAAAAAAGAACAGAGCCCCAAGAGCAGACUGCCCAGGUAUUGAUUGUGGGCCCAUCAUCUUCCUGACAAUACAAAUGUGGGCAGAUCAUCUACUCUUUGCCUCAGUUUUCCAUCUAUAAAAUGGGACUGAUAACAGUCCUAAUUUCAAAGUGCUGUCAAAACUAAAUGAGGGCUGGGUGUACUUGCCUCUCUCAGUGCUUAGGAUGCAGAGGCAGGGGGAUCAGGGCCUUAAAGCUAGGUGGGCUGCAUAGGAAGGUUAAGGCCAGUCUGGGAUAUGAGGCCCCAUCUCAAACAAAACCAAGUCUACACAAGCUGAUUCAUCACCUGGUCAGAACAGAGUCCAGGAAAGACUCACUGGUCACACACACCUGAUAAUGCAGAAAAAGCUGUGUGGCAGGACCAGUGUUUAUAAAUGUUUGUGCGGAUGUUCCCAAACCGGUAGGAGGUGUCAAGUAGUCUGUGUGAGUGUCCCUGAGAGGCAUGUACAGGCGCUUCUGUGCGUGUUACUGUCACAUGUUUAAUGUAAACCUGUGGGAGCCACGGGAUGGAGAAUUGCCUGGCUACACUCCUUACAGAGUAACCCAGUGUCCUGUAACAUGAGGACGAUACAGCACACACUGUGGCUGGAAUUAGGAGACAGCCAGAACUAGCUUCGCCACUAUGUGGGAAGUGCCUUGGGAGGCAUGCCCACCCCUGACCGAGGUGAAAGGCUGAAUUCUGUGUACGCUUCUACUGAAGUUUGGUCUGCUGCUGUGUAUUGUAAGCCCCAAGUAAUUGUCAAAGUCAAAUAAAAUAACCUUGGUCUGCAUCUCAUUCAUUCGUAAGCUAGACAGGGGUUGGGGGAGAUGUGGUGGUUUGAAUAUGCUUGGUCCAGUGGGGUGGCACUAUUCGGAGGUGUGGCUUUGUUGGAAGAAGUGUGUCACUGUGGGCAUGGACUUUAAGACCCUCCUCCUGAUCAUGUGGGAGCCAGUCUUCUCCUAUAAGCCUUCAGAUGAAGAUGUAGAACUCUCAGCUCCUCCUGCACCGUGCCUGCCUGGAUGCUGCCAUGUUCCUGCCUUGAUGAUAAUGGACUGAACCUCUGAACCUGUAAGCCAGCCCCAAUUAAAUGUUGUCUAAGAG
Molecule: non-coding RNA, 13179 nt
Organism: Rattus norvegicus (Norway rat)
Lineage: Eukaryota; Metazoa; Chordata; Mammalia; Rodentia; Muridae
Source: RefSeq, a predicted model, not a curated record